CCUACGGGAGGCAGCAGUGAGGAAUCUUGGUCAAUGGGCGAGAGCCUGAACCAGCCAAGUAGCGUGAAGGAUGACUGCCCUAUGGGUUGUAAACUUCUUUUAUAAAGGAAUAAAUGGAGGCACGUGUGCCUUUUUGUAUGUACUUUAUGAAUAAGGAUCGGCUAACUCCGUGCCAGCAGCCGCGGUAAUACGGAGGAUGCGAGCGUUAUCCGGAUUUAUUGGGUUUAAAGGGAGCGUAGAUGGGUUGUUAAGUCAGUUGUGAAUGUUUGCGGCUCAACCGUAAAAUUGCAAUUGAUACUGGGAGUCUUGAGUACAGUUGAGGUAGGCGGAAUUCGUGGUGUAGCGGUGAAAUGCUUAGAUAUCACGAAGAACCCCGAUUGCGAAGGCAGCUUUCUAAACUGUCACUGACAUUGAUGUUCGAAAGUGUGGGUAUCAAACAGGAUUAGAUACCCGUGUAGUC
Molecule: ribosomal RNA, 460 nt
Filed under: uncultured bacterium
Lineage: Bacteria
Description: partial 16S ribosomal RNA
Rfam family: Bacterial small subunit ribosomal RNA
Source: RNAcentral